GAGGGAGGUAUGAUACAACAAGAACUGCUAAUUCUUUUCCCCUAGGUUGAAUUCCCAGGCUCUCUUA
Molecule: transfer RNA, 67 nt
Filed under: Cynoglossus trigrammus
Lineage: Eukaryota; Metazoa; Chordata; Actinopteri; Pleuronectiformes; Cynoglossidae
Description: tRNA-Ser
Source: RNAcentral